AUGAUGGUGGUAGAAGAAGCGGCACAACCUGAUCCUAUGUUCUACUGUGAGCGGAUGUGUAUCGCCCAUUCUGAGAAGUGAAAAUUGUCUGUGCGAGCUUGCUCUGUUCUAUCAUCUUCCCAAAGAGCACAUGAAGUGUGAAUUCAAUGACAACAUCUCAGAAGACCAACACCUAGUUGGAGCACAUUCAGUAAGAUUAUAAACUCAUUUCUAACAUUAUAUUUGUUAUCAAAUGGAUGCUGGAAGGACUUUGCUUUCUUCUACCCCAUCAUUUCCUCGAAGAACCCACCUCAAGAAUUGUGUCUCUUCUCCUGUUCCUGCAGUUACUCCUGUUCCAACCACUUCUAUAGCUCGAAAUUUUCCUACUUCAGUUCUUUUGCAAGAGCAGCGUGAUGAGUUUAGGCCUCUCCUGAACAUUGUCAAGGAAGAUAGAAUUUCUCAGACAACAGUGGAUAGAAGACAGAUGGAAAUUGGGACCUCAGUCCAUGAAGGGAACAGUGCUUUGGAUCAAUUGGUGCUGGAAUCCAAGUAUUGCUCACUUGGUUGGCCCAAAUUUUGGAAUUUAAUACCUCCUUCACAAACAGCGCAAAUUCCAUCCUGGUCAUUGACUAUGCAGUCUGUCACAGCCAAUACUGACAAGCUUCUGGCUGUUGAACCAUUUAUUGUGAUUGACCUUGCUAAAAAAGCGUUGUCUGCUUCAAAAGAAGCAGCAUUAUUAGCUGAGAAAUGCACUAAUCUCGAUGAUGUAGUUUCUACUAGCUUGAGGUCCACGUGUUCAUCUAAUUUCUCUAUUGGGGAGGUGAAAACUGUUAGGUCAACACGUCAUUUAGGGAGGCAGUCUAAAAAUCGGAGGGUGCCAAAAGCAAAAGAUAUGUUUCAUGAGCCUUAUAAUGCUAGAAAGGCUGAUGUACAAAAAAGGAUAAAUGAAGGAUUUGAUCCAAAGGAUCCACUUCGGUUAUUUUUGUGGGGUCCUGAAACAAAACAACUUUUGACUGCUAAAGAGGAGUCUGAAUUGAUUGCUCAAGUACAGGAUUUAAUGAGGUUGGAGAAGGUGAAAAAAAGUCUUCAGUUUCAAUUUGGCCGUGAACCAUCCAUGGUUGAGUGGGCUGAUGUUGUUGGACUUAGUUGUUCAGUCUUGCAGUCACAACUUCAUGCUGGUAACAGCAGCCGAGAAAAGCUGAUUAAUGCAAAUUUACGGAUGGUAGUUCAUAUUGCUAAACAGUAUCAGGGCCGUGGUCUCAGCCUUCAGGACUUAAUGCAGGUUUAACUGGAACCCAUUUAACCUUAUGGGGUGCAUUUAUUUCUUUCUUUUAAUUAAUGACUGCAAAAACAUGUAAAUGUUAUUUUUUGUUAGUAGAAAAUAUAGAUGUGCUUGUAGCAGCUUUUACUGUAAGAUGUUAUGAUGGCACCAGAGAUGGAAGGACCAGCAAGGUUCAUGGAGCAUGUAUAUCGUUCUGUGAUGGUCUUGGUGUGGUUGACUUUGAUGGAGAUUUUGGGGCUUGGUGUGAAAGGUUGGGUGGGAUUAUUCGAUACAAAGCAUUUGGAUUUAAGGGCAGGUGGCAGUAAUUGGGGAAAAGUUAUAGGAAGGUGUUUAAGAUGGUUCAUUGGCUUGUGACAAUCCCUCCUUCUUUGUUUAAUGUGUUGUAGCCAAUGCCCAUGGAGCCUUGUAAUGUAAUGCACUUUGCAAGUUAAAAAAAAGGCAUAUGAAUAUAGACCUUUAGAUGUGUCAGUAAGAUAUGAUUGCACUUUAGUAGAAGGGACAGAAAAGGAAGGCAUGAGUAGACAAUAAAUGGCUUUAAAAUUGCUUACUAAGUUAUUGUAGGGUAGGAUUUGACUUUCUUAGAUAUUGUGGAAUGCAUAGCUCUGGUUAGAAUGGAAAUUUGGAAUGGAGGAAUUAAGCUUUUUUAAAGAACUUAUUGUAGCAGUUUAUUUGAUGAGCAUAUCUAGCUUCACUAUUUGAUGAGCAUAUUUAGCUUCACUAUUAGAUGAGCCUUCACUAAACAUUAUUAUGAACAUCUAAUCGUGCUGGUUGCUGGAACAUCUUACAUGCUUUUCAAAUUUCUUUGAAAUCCCAUCUUGUUUUGAGGUGGGGUAUUUUCCAUGUCUUUUAAUCUCUAUAAUCAUCUUGGUGGAUACCAUUUUAUUACUUAUUAAACCCAGUGGCCUUGUUAUCAAUUCUUUACUUCCCAUAGGCAUUAGUGUUUUGUUUACUUAAAUAGCAUAAAGGAAGCAAUUAUUAUUUUGACUGGUGUUAUUGGCACUGAAUUGGCAAUAUCCAAUCUUAAGUUCUCUUUUCAAUAAAGAAAUGGAAGAACAGAAGAAUGAAAAUCAGUGAUCGCAAUUAAGGAGGAGAUUAGUUAGAGAAAUGUGCCUGCAUGAGGAUGAAUUGUGAUGAUCUUUUUCUAUUUUUUUGAUAUUCUUCUAGGAAGGAAGCAUGGGUCUUAUGAAAAGCAUUGAGAAAUUCAAACCACAAGUUGGCUGCCGAUUUGCCACUUAUGCAUAUUGGUGGAUAAGGCAGACUGUUAGGAAGGCCAUAUUUCAGAAUUCUAGGACGAUUCGUUUACCGGAGAAUGUCUAUAAUAUCUUGGGCAAAGUAAUGGAAGCAAAGAGGUCAUAUAUUCAGGAAGGAAAUCAUAACCCAACCAAAGAAGAAUUAGCAAAACGUACUGGAAUUACAAUUGAUAAGUUGGAAAGGCUGUUUUUUAUGGCAAGAAUGCCACUAUCAAUGCAACAAACUGUCUGGGCGGACCAAGAUACUACUUUCCAGGUAAGUACUUCUUCUCUUUGUCUUCACCUGAGAUUUAAUCCCUUUGGAAAAUUUUUAUUAGCUCUAUUGUACUUCUGAAAUCUCUUUAGUUGCUCUAGAGCAUGCUUGUGUUUGGCAUAUGAUAAUGCUAUGUGAGUAUUACUUUGCAGGACAAUGACAGUUGGAAUAUCACAUGUUAUCAAAGAUUCCAAAUUUUGUUUAUUAGAACCAAUGAGCAUUAAUACAACACUAUGCUUUCUAGUUGUUAGCAAUAUAUAUUAAAAGUUAUUUAAUAAUUUGUAGAGACUGUUUAAUAUCUUUUGACAUUUGCAACAUUUGCAGGAAAUAACUGCAGACGCUGAAAUUGAGAUCCCAGAUGUGAGUGCAGCAAAACAAUUGAUGAGACAACAUGUUCGCGGGCUCCUGAACAUUCUCAACCUAAAGGAAAGGCAGAUAAUCAGGCUAAGAUAUGGCAUUGAAGAUGGCAAACAAAAAUCACUAUCCGAAAUUGGAAAUGUGUUUGGAUUGUCUAAGGAAAGGGUGCGGCAAUUAGAAAGCCGAGCAUUAUAUAAGCUCAAGCAAUGUCUUGGUAGCCACGGACUCGAGGCAUAUGCAGAUUUACUUGUUUAGAUGUAAUGACCUUCAAGUUCUGUGACAUUUUCAAGCACAACUUGGUGAGACCCUAAUUAAAAUUAGCAAUACUCUGCCUUUUGAAGCCUUUAAAGUGACCUUGGAAUAUAUGUAAUAGAAACUUUGGACUAGCCUAGAUUAGGUUAUUGAUGCUUAGCAAUUCUGAUUUUGUAGUAGAAGCUGAAUGCUUAUUCUUUGAUUAACUCUCUAUUUCUUUGUUAAUACAUUCCUACAUCUUAAAUGGUGGCUUUGAGUUUCUCAGUUCCAUGUCUGGAAUUAUUCUUGUGUGAUAUGCUAAAAGUGUUGCCUUUUUCUCAUUAUUUUUGUGAUCAAUAAGUUCUUUU
RNAcentral lists this unclassified non-coding RNA (3720 nucleotides) under Hevea brasiliensis (rubber tree). The record is from RNAcentral. Lineage: Eukaryota; Viridiplantae; Streptophyta; Magnoliopsida; Malpighiales; Euphorbiaceae.